RNAcentral lists this ribosomal RNA (497 nucleotides) under uncultured bacterium. RNAcentral describes it as "partial 16S ribosomal RNA". It matches the Rfam family "Bacterial small subunit ribosomal RNA", at positions 28 to 507 of the family's 1533-position model. The record is from RNAcentral.
GAUGAACGCUGGCGGCGUGCCUAAUACAUGCAAGUCGAGCGAACAGACGAGGAGCUUGCUCCUCUGACGUUAGCGGCGGACGGGUGAGUAACACGUGGAUAACCUACCUAUAAGACUGGGAUAACUCCGGGAAACCGGAGCUAAUACCGGAUAAUAUAUUGAACCGCAUGGUUCAAUAGUGAAAGACGGUUUUGCUGUCACUUAUAGAUGGAUCCGCGCCGCAUUAGCUAGUUGGUAAGGUAACGGCUUACCAAGGCGACGAUGCGUAGCCGACCUGAGAGAGUGAUCGGCCACACUGGAACUGAGACACGGUCCAGACUCCUACGGGAGGCAGCAGUAGGGAAUCUUCCGCAAUGGGCGAAAGCCUGACGGGGCAACGCCGCGUGAGUGAUGAAGGUCUUCGGAUCGUAAAACUCUGUUAUUAGGGAAGAACAAAUGUGUAAGUAACUAUGCACGUCUUGACGGUACCUAAUCAGAAAGCCACGGCUAACUACGUG